AUUGAACGCUGGCGGCAUGCUUUACACAUGCAAGUCGAACGGCAGCGCGGGCUUCGGCCUGGCGGCGAGCGGCGAACGGGUGAGUAAUACAUCGGAACGUGCCCAGUAGUGGGGGAUAGCUCGGCGAAAGCCGGAUUAAUACCGCAUACGACCUGAGGGUGAAAGCGGGGGAUCUUCGGACCUCGCGCUAUUGGAGCGGCCGAUGGCAGAUUAGCUAGUUGGUGGGGUAAGGCCUACCAAGGCGACGAUCUGUAGCUGGUCUGAGAGGACGACCAGCCACACUGGGACUGAGACACGGCCCAGACUCCUACGGGAGGCAGCAGUGGGGAAUUUUGGACAAUGGGCGAAAGCCUGAUCCAGCAAUGCCGCGUGUGUGAUGAAGGCCUUCGGGUUGUAAAGCACUUUUGGCGGGAACGAAAAGGACUGUGCCAAUACUACGGUUCGAUGACGGUACCCGCAGAAUAAGCACCGGCUAACUACGUG
This 483-nucleotide ribosomal RNA is filed under the name uncultured bacterium. RNAcentral's name for it is "partial 16S ribosomal RNA". It matches the Rfam family "Bacterial small subunit ribosomal RNA", at positions 29 to 507 of the family's 1533-position model. The record is from RNAcentral.